UACAAAUUUAGUGACUUUAGAGCUGGUGAGAAAGUUUUAAAAUUCAUGGAUAAGAAUAUUCUUUUGCCAGACUAUUUCUAACUGAAAUUAAUCCUUGAAAGCAUUUUAUCCAAAUUAAGUUUCACACUCCUCUAAACAAUAGGUUUUCAAAUAUUCAUUCAGCAUAUUUAACAACAGUCUUUCCUUGCAUUGUGUAUAACCACCCUACAUGUGUGUAAUUGUGUUUGUGUGUUUCUCUGCAGGCUAUUGCUCUACUAAUGCUUUAUAUAGAAUCCC
RNAcentral lists this long non-coding RNA (276 nucleotides) under Mytilus galloprovincialis (Mediterranean mussel). Lineage: Eukaryota; Metazoa; Mollusca; Bivalvia; Mytilida; Mytilidae. The record is from RNAcentral.